Oncorhynchus nerka (sockeye salmon) is the source of this 491-nucleotide long non-coding RNA. RefSeq lists it as uncharacterized. The transcript is spliced from 2 exons. The record is from RefSeq and is a predicted model, not a curated record. NCBI's taxonomy places the organism in Eukaryota, Metazoa, Chordata, Actinopteri, Salmoniformes, Salmonidae.
AUAAUUAACUCACCGACUUAUUCCAGCGAUGAUUGAUACAAUUCAAAGACCAAUUCCAGAUAUGAGCCUUUUUCAACCUUCCACUGAUGUCUCCCUGCUUUGAAGACUUAUCGAGUCUCAAAACAAAUUAUUUCAGUUCCUACUCCAUAUUCUUCUUUACAAAAUGUUGGCGUCCAUUCCUGUAGCCUCCCAGCUGGAUGUUUUGCCUUUAGGCAAAGUACCUUAAUUACUUAUUAAUGUAAUAACAACCUGACCUGAACUGAUCCUGAACUGCUGAGGUCCACAACCUGGCUCACCCACCCAGACUGGCACCCCUCCAGCUUCACCUGCAGAUCGUGCCUGCCCUGCUCCAGCUCCUGUGGGCAAAACAUAACAGAUGGGCACAAUUAAUGCGUGCCAAUGGGGGUCUCUUUGGUCUGUGAUUAGGAGACUGAUACCACUGCUCGAUCAUUUUAAUCCAUGAAAUGAAUAAAUUAGAAAAUCUAAUAGUA